Molecule: long non-coding RNA, 1432 nt
Organism: Silurus meridionalis
Lineage: Eukaryota; Metazoa; Chordata; Actinopteri; Siluriformes; Siluridae
Exons: 2
Source: RefSeq, a predicted model, not a curated record
UAAUAAACUAAUUUAUAAUCCUGUCCAUCCUUGUCACUGCCAACGAAAACCUCAACAUCUUCAGCUCUGCUAUCUCCAGCUCCACCUCCUGUAGUUUUGUCAAACAAACACAAUGGGACUACCCACUAAAAAAGUGACCUGGUGAUCUGCAUGUGGAUGGAAAAUCUGGGCAUAUUUUACAUCUUCUAGCAGGUGGCUUCAAAACAGGGAGAGAGAGAAAAGGACCAGACAUAGUAUCAGAUAAAUGUUUAUAGGAAUAAAGAUUUUUAUGCAAUCUUCAUAUCUUCUAUAUUUAACAUUUUUUUAAAUAUAAACUCUGAACACAUAUGGCUUUGUCAGGACAGUGAGGACAGGAGCAGAGCGACGCCCUCUGCGGAGAUCAGAGGCCGAGCGACACCCUCAUCGGAGAUCAUAGGCUGACCGACGCCCUCGGCGGAGAUCAGAGGCCGAGCGACACCCUCGGCAAAGAUCAGAAGCAGAGCAACGCCUUCGACAGAGGUCAGAGGCUGACUGGUGCCCUCGGUAGGACUCAGGAGCACAGUGGAGCGGAGCACUUGACGGAACACUGGAGCGGAGUGAUGCGCUUGGCGGAAAACUGGAGCGGAGCGCUCGGCGAAACACUAGAGGGGAGCAGCGUGCUCAGUGGAACACUAGAGUGUAGCGGCGCGCUCGGCGGAACACUGGAACGGAGCGGCACCCUCGGCGUAGCACUGGAGCGGACCGUCGCACUUGGCAAAACACUGGAGCUGAACGGCGCGCUCUGCGGAACACUGGGGCAAGCGAUGUGCUUGCCGGAACACUGGAGCGGAGUGGCCAUAAUACACCUUUGUAUUAUAUGCAGUUUUCUUUCUUGAUAGAUACCCCUAUCUGAGUCUUUUCUCCAAAUUUUUUUUUUUAUGUUGAAUAUUAAACUCGAAAGUUUCAAAAUUUAAACUUCUAAAUUUCUAGUUUUAAACUCAGAAAUUCCCUGCCCCUCCCCUUUCAGUUUUUUUUAAAAUCCCAAAGUACCCCUAAUACGGUGUUGUAUGUUCGGUAUGUGUAAUUGAUAGUGGAAAAAAGGAAUGUUAUGGUCCCAUUAUUUUAUCCACUAUGCCAAAGUCAAACAGACGGAUUAUCAUGGCUGCGGAUACACACGAAGACCAGUCUAAAUGAUUAGUCAUUGGAUCAUGCACUUUGGGAAACAGCCCUAACUAAAAAAUUUAAAUUAUCCGCACCUAUUACUACACACCUCAACAAUGGAACUGAAACAAAUGGACAUUUAGUGCCGGUGGUUUCCUUUUUGAUUCUGGUUCCUCUCAAAGUUUCUUCCUCAUGCUAUUUCAUGGAGUUUUUCCUUGCUACAGUCAUCACUGGCUUGCCCAUCAGGUAUAAACAAUCUGAGACAAUGCUCAUAGUAAAAAGCAUGUUACAAAUAAAAUUUAAUUAAAUGUAA